Molecule: ribosomal RNA, 459 nt
Filed under: uncultured bacterium
Lineage: Bacteria
Description: partial 16S ribosomal RNA
Rfam family: Bacterial small subunit ribosomal RNA
Source: RNAcentral
CUACGGGAGGCAGCAGUAAGGAAUAUUGCGCAAUGGAGGCAACUCUGACGCAGCCAUGCCGCGUGCAGGAAGAAGGCCUUAUGGGUCGUAAACUGCUUUUAUUUAGGAAUAAACCCCCGAACGUGUUCGGGGCUGAAGGUACUAAACGAAUAAGCACCGGCUAACUCCGUGCCAGCAGCCGCGGUAAUACGGAGGGUGCAAGCGUUAUCCGGAUUUAUUGGGUUUAAAGGGUGCGCAGGCGGGCUAUUAAGUCAGUGGUGAAAUCCCGGGGCUCAACUCCGGAACUGCCAUUGAUACUGAUAGUCUUGAGUUUGGUUGAAGUCGGCGGAAUGUAGCAUGUAGCGGUGAAAUGCAUAGAUAUGCUACAGAACACCAAUCGCGAAGGCAGCUCACUAAGCCAAAACUGACGCUCAUGCACGAAAGCGUGGGGAUCAAACAGGAUUAGAUACCCGAGUAGUC